This 494-nucleotide ribosomal RNA is filed under the name uncultured bacterium. Its description in RNAcentral is "partial 16S ribosomal RNA". It matches the Rfam family "Bacterial small subunit ribosomal RNA", at positions 28 to 507 of the family's 1533-position model. The record is from RNAcentral.
GACGAACGCUGGCGGCGUGCUUAACACGUGCAAGUCGAACGGUGAAGCGCCUUCCUUUUUGGUGGGUGUGGAUGAGUGGCGAACGGGUGAGUAACACGUGAGUAACCUGCCCCCUUCUUCUGGAUAACCGCAUGAAAGUGUGGCUAAUACGGGAUAUUCUGGGUCUGUCGCAUGAUGGGUCUGGGAAAGAUAUUGUUUCGGUGGGGGAUGGGCUCGCGGCCUAUCAGCUUGUUGGUGGGGUGAUGGCCUACCAAGGCGGUGACGGGUAGCCGGCCUGAGAGGGUGGACGGUCACACUGGGACUGAGACACGGCCCAGACUCCUACGGGAGGCAGCAGUGGGGAAUAUUGCACAAUGGGAGCAGGCCUGAUGCAGCGACGCCGCGUGAGGGAUGGAGGCCUUCGGGUUGUGAACCUCUUUCGCCAGUGAAGCAGGCCUGCCUCGUUUGUGGGUGGGUUGACGGUAGCUGGAUAAGAAGCGCCGGCUAACUACGUG